Long non-coding RNA from Myotis brandtii (Brandt's bat), 641 nucleotides. RefSeq lists it as uncharacterized. The transcript has 2 exons. The record is from RefSeq and is a predicted model, not a curated record. Lineage: Eukaryota; Metazoa; Chordata; Mammalia; Chiroptera; Vespertilionidae.
AUGGCUGCUGACGUGGGCGGAUGGGAAUGCCAGGAAUCUGAACACCAGUCAUAGCUGACUGUGUUGAGCAUGCUGCUGCACCGGGCAUCGCUUUAAUCACAUUGCAGACAUUGUCUCAUUUACCAACCUGCCCUGUGAGGUGGCACUAUCAUUCACAGCACCGCUGAUGAUGGGAUGAUGGGGAAGCAACAACACUGAGAUGGGAGAUGGGACCACAAACAGACGCGUCGGCCAUUUCAAAGUGCUUUUCACAUGAGCAAAGGAUGGAUGAUCUGCACAUUAGUGACUCACCACGUACUGACGACCUGAGACUUCUUGCUUUUGUCUGUUAUUAACAUUUUCAUGUAUAUUUGCCUUGUCUGCUCUGGCAGUUCCUGAAGAAUUGGACUGUCUUGUGGGUCUCUUGCCUCCCACUUGAUACCUAUUACACACAGAAGCCCGUCUAUGGAAAGGUAACGAACUGAUUAACUAGUGUUUGCAACUUCUUGCUCCACCCUCCUUGUCAAUGAAGGCGAGUCCGACUUGUAAAUUUUUGAAAUGUAGCCAACAAUUUUGUAAACACUUGGGGAAUUUUCUAAAUGUUCGGCCAGUAGAAUGAAUUUAGUGAUGCCCCGAAUUUUAAUGAGACUUCUUUCAUGCUA